Molecule: long non-coding RNA, 254 nt
Filed under: Elaeis guineensis (African oil palm)
Lineage: Eukaryota; Viridiplantae; Streptophyta; Magnoliopsida; Arecales; Arecaceae
Description: long non-coding RNA (EGUI_LNC032128)
Source: RNAcentral
GUCAGAAGUUUAUGCUUGGGACAUCCCACCAGAAGUUUAUAUCUAGGACAUCCUUAGGGCUGGAACUAGGUCGGGCCAGGUCGGGCCCUACCCUAGUUCGAGCCCAGUCCAAAAUAAUUUUUCAGGCUUCGAGCUGGGCUUAGGCCCGAUUUUUUUGAAAAAGUAUAGGCCCCAGCCCAGCCCGAGCCCAAUCGGAUCGGCCCACAUCCAAUCAUGCUUCAACCUCUUCACGCCCAACCACUACAUCCGGCACC